Ailuropoda melanoleuca (giant panda) is the source of this 2526-nucleotide long non-coding RNA. RefSeq lists it as uncharacterized. The record is from RefSeq and is a predicted model, not a curated record. Lineage: Eukaryota; Metazoa; Chordata; Mammalia; Carnivora; Ursidae. The transcript has 4 exons.
GGCGGGGGAGGGUCCGUCCUGGCGAGCGGGCAGACCUGCUUGAAGGUGGUGGUGAAGCCGCGUGGAUGGGUUUUUUUUCCCUCAGGAAGUUUUCUAAGACUCGCGGACCGACGUGUGGAGCGUUGGCGCUUUUACAAGUGCUUUUGUCGGGAAAUGAAUUAGAAGUGAGGCCUUUUCGAGCCGCAGGGAGCCGACAACAACUACGUUUUUAUUCCUUCAGAGAGAAGUCCCUCUUGAGAACCUCUAAGGCCCUCCCUGAGGGACCAUCUCGACCUUUCUUCGGUCAGAAUCACUUGUUCCCUGCUCCCAAAAUGGCGCCACAGGACAGAGGAGUUGGGGGAAUUCAUCACUCUCUAGCCCCCCAAAUACGUGGAGACAGUGUUUACUGUACAGAUGGGGCUUCUACGAAAUGCCCUGAACCCCACUUCCAGUUAGACCUGGCGCCCUUGAACCCAUGGAAAUCUUGGAGCAGGACUCCUUUCGUUGGGGUCGCUGCAGAUCAUCAACAGAGUGCCUCUGCUGGCUUAUGAGUUUGACCCCAGUGUUUGCCCAGAACGUGAUGUUCACAAAAGUUAAGUUGUCACAAUCCUGAUUUCAGAGCCACACUCUGUUCUGUAGGGUUAGUUAAGCCAGCUGUCCAAGGAGCACUAAUGCACUGGAAGUAAUUGGUUUUAUUUUGCCCCAUGGCUACAAAGUCUCUGGUCCUAGGAAGAUGGAGGACAGAUUGAGAGAGCAGAAAGUUCGUUUUAAAUUAAUUACCUCCCUCCCAGUGACAACAUCUAGGCCUAGGAAGGAUGGCACACAUAGAAGCAAGGAUUCCUCCUGUGUCUGCAAGUUACAUGAACUAAUCCAGAUGUAUGUAGGGUUGGUAUCCAGAGUCAAAAUACCAACUGUUUUAUUUAGAUCGCACCUCUUUACAAAAGACAGUAACUUCCUUGAAGGAUUUUAUCAUCAGGAUAGAUGAGAAUAACAUACAAAACAAUAGACCUUGAUGAAUGUGUUGACACAAGUCGGUGCCAGGACUGGCCACCUGAUACAUGGUCCAGAACGUUUCCCAUUAUCCCAUCAUGCCCUGGUUAUAAAAGCCAUAGGAGUUCCAAGGAGGUUAUCGGGAGUGGGAGAGUGGUCUGUCACCCUAGUCCUCCAUUACCAGAAUCAUUUGAUGCUGAUGAACUCAAGUUUUGCCUCCCUCUGCACACAGUCCCUAAGUGAUCUCUCACAAACUCUCAGCUUCAACCACCGCGCAUUGGUUGCUGACCCUCAGUGAUCUGCUGUUGAGAUCUGUGUCACCCUGGAAGGAAGAAGGAGAGAGAGUGAGAAAAUCCUUGUGGACCAGAGCCAAGAGUUCUGACAUCUUUGCCUCUUUCUUGCUGGAGAGACAGUGUCCCCUAGAUGCAUGGGCUGCAGCUGCACAGGCUUCCUUCAUCAUAAUGGAUACCAUUAUUGGAUCAGAGCUGGUUCAUUCUAUGUGAGGUUGUGAAGGUUAGAGACACCUUUGGGCCUGGGAUGCCUAACUGGGCCUGGACUGCAUACAGGCCAUUGAGAGGGCUGGAGUGUUGUCCCCUGGGAUACAGUGCUCACCACGAGCCUGCCUAUGGUGUCUCAUGAGGGGCCCACAGGCUUGAUUUGCCAUUGUGAUAUGUCUUCCCAAGAAAGAAAAGCUGCUCGUUACGUCCCACACAUGGAUUUAAAAACUAAGCAAGAUUUCCCUAGGGAAAUUAUGGAAUACUUGUACCCAAUGGGGCUCUUCACAUCCUCAAGCAUGCCUGUCCAGCUAGCUUCGUCUCCCGCUGCAUCCAACACUCCCCCCUCUUCCUGAGCUCCUCUUCCCUAGUCACGCUCUUCCCUUGUAUGCAUCUGACCCCUGCGCUUAGGCAUAUGUUGGGUCUUCUAUCUUGAAUUCCUUUCUUUCCUUCUCUAUCUGGUGAGGGAUUAAUUCUACUUAUUCUUUUUAAUUUCCAUUAAAAACUUGUUCUUUUCAUUUAUUUUACUUAAUCUCAGAAACAAAUACUUUAUAAAAUACUUUGAUCAUGCAUUUGGAUGUCAUGGCAGUAUCAAUUGCUGUAAAAAUGUUGAUAAACUUCCUCUCAGUUUCUGCACUUUUGUUGUCCUGGGCAGGUAACAAAUGGACCACUCACUGAGUGGCGCUGCCUUAGACUUUUCUUAGACUUUUUCUUCCAUGGAGCUGCUCUACCCAGCCACCUCAGUUUAAACCAGUCACUCCUCCCCUGUCAUCCUCCCCAGUGAGAUGCCAACGUAGCAUCAUAGAACAUUCACUCACAGCCUUGUGGUGAUGUGUGCUUCUAUUUCUCCACCAGAUUCUGAGCUCCACAAGGGAGGACAUUCUUUCUUAUUCAUUAUUUAUCUCUGUAUCUCAGAGUCCAGACCUAGUCCAUAUUCAGAGCUUGGUCAGUAUUUGUGGAACUGAAUAUAAAGCCACUUUGGAAAACUAAACUCUUGUAGGGUCAUGUACUAAUUUGUUUAAGACAUCUCAUGGCUACUGAUGGCAUAUCUAGCCCUGUGACC